Molecule: ribosomal RNA, 253 nt
Filed under: uncultured bacterium
Lineage: Bacteria
Description: partial 16S ribosomal RNA
Rfam family: Bacterial small subunit ribosomal RNA
Source: RNAcentral
UACGGGGGGUGCGAGCGUUACUCGGAAUAACUGGGCGUAAAGGGUACGCAGGCGGUUUUUUAAGUGAGGUGUGAAAUCCCCGGGCUUAACCUGGGAAUUGCAUUUGAUACUGGGAGUCUAGAGUACUUUAGGGAGGGGUAGAAUUCCACGUGUAGCGGUGAAAUGCGUAGAGAUGUGGAGGAAUACCGAAGGCGAAGGCAGCCCCUUGGAAAUGUACUGACGCUGAUGUGCGAAAGCGUGGGGAGCAAACAGG